GGGGCUGGAGCUCAGGGGCAAAGCAUCUGCUUUGGAUGCACAAGGUCCUGUCUUCAACUGACAGCAACUCCA
Podarcis lilfordi (Lilford's wall lizard) is the source of this 72-nucleotide non-coding RNA. NCBI's taxonomy places the organism in Eukaryota, Metazoa, Chordata, Lepidosauria, Squamata, Lacertidae. The record is from the annotation of a GenBank genome assembly.